UAAAAUUUGAAGAAGAUUUGAUCAUGAUUUGAAGAAGAUUUGAUCAUGAUUUGAAGAAGAUUUGAUUGAGAUUUGAUCAAGAUUUGAAGAAUAUUUAAUUAAGAUUUGAAGAAUAUUUAAUCAAGAUUUAUCUACAACAAAAUAUGAAUAGAAUUAGUGUGAAGAAUUUACAAAAUCAAUCUAGACAAAAUAGGAACAUAAUCAAUAUGAAUAAUUUACAAACUCAUUCUGAACAAUAUACAAUUCAGAAUUAAACAAGGACUAAAUUGAAGCCCAAAUUUUCACUAUAAAUAGACACUCAAGGCUGAAGAAGAAAAGCGUAGAAAAGUAGAAAAGAAGAACUCAAGCUCAAAGUUCUCAAUUCAUCUUAGAGUUCAAAGAGAGAAACACUUGUUCAAGUUAGAAAUAUUUUCUGAGUGUUCUUUUCUUAGACUGUGAGAGUUAUUAUUAUUAUACCAGCUUUGUUAGAAACAACUACUCAAGUUCCAAUAUUUUGUAUCCAACUCGAUAAUGGUUUAGUUUCUUCUUCAAUCUAGGGUUGUCAGGUUGUUAGGAAAAGUCUUGGCUGGUAGGGUCAAUGUGGUUAGUUCCUCAAAAGUCUAAAGUUGUUAGGCUGUUUGGGAUGACUGACUUGGAGGGUCAGGUGAUUUGUAAUUCAAGAUAUUAGAAUUAGUGGAUUAAAGCCUUUUGAAUGUAGGAAAUGGAUGUAGCCAAGUAAGUGGUGAACUAGGAUAAACAUGUGUCAAAUUAAU
This 752-nucleotide long non-coding RNA is filed under the name Cicer arietinum (chickpea). RNAcentral's name for it is "long non-coding RNA (CARI_LNC003652)". The record is from RNAcentral. Lineage: Eukaryota; Viridiplantae; Streptophyta; Magnoliopsida; Fabales; Fabaceae.